Amphiprion ocellaris (clown anemonefish) is the source of this 1656-nucleotide RNA transcript. It is a transcript of the gene named small integral membrane protein 29-like, with no coding region annotated. The transcript is spliced from 6 exons. The record is from RefSeq and is a predicted model, not a curated record. NCBI's taxonomy places the organism in Eukaryota, Metazoa, Chordata, Actinopteri, Pomacentridae.
AUUAAGCAGGUUGAGGUAUGCGAGUUCUGUAUUUCUGUAAGUGUGUCCCAUGUGACAUGAAAUGAAAGAAGCAAGGAGGAAAUGUUUGUCCACCUACUCCACACAUAAGGCGUCAGAAGAGGUGCACAGAGCAGAGGGCUCCCAUGAACAAGGAGAUGGAGCAUUUGAACCACACAACUCACCACAUUUCACCCCCAAACAACAAACCUGAAUUUCCUGGCUACUAUGCACUCAUCCCCUUCGUUCUGCUCACACUGACUGGAUGCAUAGUGGCAGCGGUUUGUUAUAUCAGAAGGAGAGUGAGACUCGAUGAGCUGCGCCACCAGCUGAUUCCUAUGUACACCUACGACCCUGCAGAGGAACAGGACGACUGGGGAAACGCUGGCAGGGACAAUGAGGAGGAGCUAACUGAACCUUUGUACAAAGAUGCACAGCUCUCCUUUACCACUGACUACGGAACAUGAACAGAAGAUCAAGAAGAAAGUGUCCAACUAGGAAAAUAAAUCUUCUUCUGCAUGUUGCAUAGCAGAGACAUCCUACAGAGAUAGCCUGGAUGCUUCUUAAGGUUUUAAAACAAUGUGUGGAUGAAUCAGUUCUGUUCUUUCUUCAUGACAUGUUCUGACACCAGAUGGCACUGUAAUCCUGUCUUUUGCCUGAGCUGAGAUUUUUGUCAAAGACUGUUGAAAGUGCCUUGAAGGACAAGGCAAGAUGUCUCGGGAUUUUUGGGAAAUAAACUGAAAGCUAAACAACAGCUUCGGAGCUACUGGUGUUGUGUGUGUAUUUCUCUAAUUAUGUUUGAAAUAGCUUUAAAGACGCACCUGUUUCUGCUUGGUAAUCAGAGGGUUUGCCGGUUGGUAGAGGUCCUCAGGUUGACACAGCUUCAACUGUUCCUGGCUUUAACAUACAGGAAGAUGGGAUCACAAAGAAACAGAAGGUGAACAACGCACAAACAACUGAAAACCUAAAAAGCCUUAUCUGAAGAAUCAAUUUGGAUUAUUUAAUUGUGUAUGUGUGUGGAUUUACAUUAGUCUGGACGUCCAUCUGUUGGGUCCAUGCUGGUUCCUGAUCUCCAUCCUGCUGCUCCUGGCUCUGGUCCUCCCAGCUCUUGCACUGGAAAGCCUGCUGUGUUACUACUGUCCCCUGCAGCCCAAAGGCAAACCCUGCACAAACACCACCAGCCAGUGUCUACCUGACCAGCGCUGCUCCAGCUCCGUAGGCCGCUACGGUUCCAUCCACGUCCUGUCUGCUCAGGGCUGCCUGGACAAGGAACUCUGUGGCUCCCAUGAAAUCGUCUCAUAUCAGGGAGUCAAAUACAAUGUCAGUCACACUUGCUGCUGCAGAGACAAAUGUAACAACGAGCCCAAAUUUGACACCAGCCUGAAGAAGCUACUGGGGAUGAUUGCAGCAAAAACUGAAAAUGACAGCAUGGCUAAUGGUCGUAGGGAGGAGUCUCGGGAUUCGUGUGCAAAUUACACUUCAUCAAAAAUAACUGCCACCAAAUCAUAGGAAUACUUGCAGAACUGAGGACCGAGGAGAGGCCUGUUUGCUAUAGGUGUGCUGGAAGGCGUGGCCUCUUUGGGAAGAUCCGUGGUCAGUGAGGAGAUUAGAGUUCAUCAGGAGAAGAUCUGAAAAGUUUUGACUGGAUUUAGAAACUUU